Molecule: long non-coding RNA, 981 nt
Organism: Anopheles arabiensis
Lineage: Eukaryota; Metazoa; Arthropoda; Insecta; Diptera; Culicidae
Exons: 2
Source: RefSeq, a predicted model, not a curated record
GGGUCUUCAAGAGGCUUCAUAUCAGCGACUUAGAUCUCUGGCUUAGUGUACUUACCACCGGAUCGAAUUGCAAACAAACAAACAGUCACACACGCACACACACACAUACAUGGUGUGUUGUGCAAUGGGUCAACUGAGUGUUGCAUAACGCACGCGCGCUCGUGCGCGCGCACACACAUCGAGGCGGAUUGGCAACGGAACCGUGAGAGCUAGAACGUGCGACGCCCAUGACGCGUCGUGACAGAUUAUGGCAGUGUGUGUGUGUGUGCCACGUGUAGUCCGGCAGUUUGGAGCAGACUGCAAAAAACCACCAGAACCGGAACGCAGUGGGAUCGCUUUACGCCGCAAGGAAUGGAUACGCAAGGAGACCCUCGGAUUGUUGAAACGAGAUCGAAACCCCUCCCCCCCCCCCUCUCAUCCAUCGAGAAGGGAGUGCAGCGGGGCGGAACCUUUUCGUCGUGAUCGUGACUGGCGCUGCACGAACCAAACACCGCGCGAGGGUAACGCGCGAGAGUAACGCUUCACACACCGUGUGUGUGUGUGUGCGUGAGUGUGUGGCGUGUAGUAACGCAGUAACGAAGGGUAAACACACAAACACACACUCUUCCACCCUGCUGCUUGCACCACCGUGCAGGCACCCCGCAGGCUUUACUAAAAUCAGGCUGUGCGAACCGGGCCACCUUUAGUCGCUUCGUACUCCCCCAUCGUGCUUGUUCGAUGAGCUCGAUGUGGCUCGUUUCUUUGAACUAAGCGUGCGUGUGUGUGUGUGUGAAGUGUGCGUUUUUUAUCGCAAAGGAGCAAUACAACAGUCCAAACAGGAUAAUCGCAGCAGCGGAGAGGAGAGUGCGCACCGGGGGCUGUGAUCGUUUAUUCGGCUUUAGGGAUAGACGAUCGGCAGAACAAAGCGAACCGGGUGCGACAGCGUCAAACAACAGGUUAGGCUAGACGCACCAAUACAGACGCAAGAGAGUGUUUUUUAUA